UACGGGGGAUGCAAGCGUUAUCCGGAUUUAUUGGGUUUAAAGGGUGCGUAGGCUGUGAGGUAAGUCAGCGGUGAAAUGCCCCCGCUCAACGGGGUGAAGUGCCAUUGAUACUGCCUUGCUGGAAUGCGGAUGCCGUGGGAGGAAUGUGUGGUGUAGCGGUGAAAUGCAUAGAUAUCACACAGAACACCGAUUGCGAAGGCAGCUUACAAAUCUAUAUCGGACGCUGAGGCACGAAAGCGUGGGGAGCAAACAGG
Molecule: ribosomal RNA, 254 nt
Filed under: uncultured Bacteroidales bacterium
Lineage: Bacteria; Pseudomonadati; Bacteroidota; Bacteroidia; Bacteroidales
Description: partial 16S ribosomal RNA
Rfam family: Bacterial small subunit ribosomal RNA
Source: RNAcentral